This 241-nucleotide ribosomal RNA is filed under the name uncultured bacterium. RNAcentral's name for it is "partial 16S ribosomal RNA". It matches the Rfam family "Bacterial small subunit ribosomal RNA", at positions 335 to 572 of the family's 1533-position model. The record is from RNAcentral.
GGCCCUACGGGGGGCAGCAGUGAGGAAUAUUGGUCAAUGGGCGAGAGCCUGAACCAGCCAAGUCGCGUGAAGGAUGACGGCCCUAUGGGUUGUAAACGUCUUUUGUCAGGGAGCAAUUGGGUCCACGUGUGGGCUUAGCGAGAGUACCUGAAGAAAAAGCAUCGGCUAACUCCGUGCCAGCAGCCGCGGUAAUACGGAGGAUGCGAGCGUUACCCGGAUUUAUUGGGGUUAAAGGGUGCGU